GAGGUUGCCUCCUUUCCCGGGAAGAAACCGCGGUUUCUUUCUCUUUUGACAACAGGAAAAGCAACCCCUCUGCCUGCUCUUGCUAGUGCCUUCUUCAGUGCUUGCAGAGGGAUGCAGGGCGGGUUCUCGGGGUGCCUUGUUCAGUGGCGUUGCCUUAGAGUUGCCCUCUGGCUUUCGAGACUAUGUUCUGCCGUUAGAAAGAAGCACCAAGGAGCUGUGUAGCAAAAUCUGCGGAGAACUCAACAGUUCUAAAGUGCUUGUGUUCUUAAAGUGAUCAGAGUGGGAGGAAAAGUUGUAUUUUUAAGCAGUCUUGCCAGAUCUCCCUCAACUACUUAAUAUAAAUAACCCUACUGGAAAGAAAGGAGUGAACAGAGUACAAUUCUUGCUCAGUUUGCUUAAUGUUUGUAGCAUACAUCUAGCAAACCUGUAAAGACUGUUAAGACCAUGCAUAUGAGAGGAUGUACAUUUGGGGCAGAACGUUAAGAUGUAGGCUCAGAGCUGAAAAGGGACUUGAUACACCGGAGUGGUACUGGAAAUUAAUUUAAACUUGAGUUCGGAAAAGGGUUGGACUUGAUUUUCUUUCUACUUUUUAGAUGGAGAUUGGUACAUUCUUUAAGAGUUAUUUAAAACUUAUGAUCUUACUGUUCUCUUUGAUCACCUUAAAGGAGACAGUGAAGGAGAGCAGAGAGGCUACCGCUUUUGAGUACCAUCGUGCUGCUGAUGACAAUUUCAGACCCUCAGCUCAGGUUCCUGAGUGCUUCGUCUGAAGGAUCUGGUUUUGGCUGGGUGUCAUGACUCAGUUGUGUCUGCUAACUCGGUGAAAUCAAAACAAAGCAAACCAGAUUAUGAAGUACUUUUAAAUGUUUAACAGUAACUUGCAUGUUCUUUAGUGUAAGAGACCCUGUAAACAAGUGUUUUGGUCUGCCACUUUCUUAUAGCACGCUUUCUGUCCCGCAUCAGCAGUCCUGAUCCUGUACCCUUAUGAAGUGCUUGCUUAAUUUUGACAGAAUCAUUUGGUUGAAAUGAAUAGAUCACUGAAUACCAAAUUUGAUAUUUAAGAAAAAACCAAUCCACACAGUUUUUAGGGGUUAGCACCCGCAUCAAGUAUUUAAAAUUGCUAUGUAUAGAACUCUGUGCCGGGGCAUUCGUCUCGGGACCUGCAGUCUCUGCCCAUAAAAGCUGUAGCAACUUACCACUUCUUUUUAAGCAGAUCCUUUAGCCACUUUCUUGUUACGAAUGAGAAGAACCUUACCUGUUUUAUUUAUUUUAAAAUAUUAUUCUGUAUUACUGCAGGACUGAGGAAGCUUAGACCCAUGCUGCUGGGAGCAGAGUCCCUCCAGAGGCCAAGGUCCCAGUGUAGCAGAUGAAGGUUCUGCUGUAGUGUGAACCUCCUAAAGUGGGGAGAGUUGUUGUGCUUUGGUUGUUCACAGCUUCUAGGUGUCACCUGAAGUAGUCAGCAGACAUCGUAGAGCAGUAUUGGAUCUGAAGAACUGACCAAAGAAUUAUCGAGUUAAAAUGAUUUCCUUCCUGGCAUAAGCGCUCUGUUAGAAAAACGAUUCAGCAGAGUAUUCAGGCCAGUGCAAUAUUAAAAUGAUGUUGUAAAUCAGUCUUUUGUAUUCUGUAAGUACUGCAAGCUAAAUAAUUUUCUUUCCAAGUGGAAGGUUUCAGUAUUAAAAUAACAGAUAGGAAAUGAGAUGAAACCAGAUUCCUGAGUAUGCCAAAUAACUUAGAUGUUGCCUGCUAAAAUUAGCUUGGGUUGCACUUAUUACUCUGGAUUUAUUACUUUGCAGCAUAGUCAAAUAAAGCACAGUGUGUUCAAUUUUGAAACGAGAACAUUUAAUAUGAACUACUAGAUUACUGAAAAAUAAAAAUGUUGCAUGCAAAUCUGGGAAUUCAAGUCAGUUUCUCACUGUGAGUCAAGUUUAAGCUACGUAUAGAAUACAAAAUUAUACCUACGCAGACCAAGCUGUCACUUCUUUGACUUAUUUGAAAACUUAAUGCUCUACUUAUGUUUAAAAUGCAAGGGGAUUUGGGGUGCCCUCGCAAUCUAUCCAUUCCCUGUGCUAGCAACUUCAGCAAUGAAUUUGAAAAGGAUUGCUAAUACUGAAGAACAGUAAACUUAAGAAAACCUAUGCAUCUUUAAUUUUCCAGCAGUCUGGUCUAUGUGUAUUUUCUAUAUGCAUAUAUAUAAGUAAACUGGAGAUACCGAGAAUCCUUAAAUGAGAGGGAAGGGAGGAAGUGACGCAUGAGGUCCAGGACAAGGCAUAAUCUUGAUGUGAGAGGGGUCGUCUGCAGGGCUGGGAUUAACGGGUUUCUACGAGCACUUGUUCAGAGGUGUGCUGAGGGUUUUGGGGAGGCUGAGUUGCAGGGGAACACACAGGAGGAAGGAAGAGCUUCCUAGCAUUUGAUUAGUGAUGGGUUCAUGUUAUCUGAAGCAGCAAAAGAAGAAAAUAAAUGUGAAUUUCUUAGCUUCUCACCAGCCAGACGUGAAGAUCUUGCUUCCUAAGGUUGUUGAGCUGCCUUUUGGGAAAGCACUGAUAGUAGGAGCACUGGGGCAGUGCAUUUACAUGUCUUUCUGGAAGACCUAGAAAAUUCUUAACUGAAAGCAUGUUUGUAUUUCUCUUUGAGUGGGUUUUGAUUAAUUGCUGCUGUGAUGCCAGGGUGGCCUGGGACGCUGGGGUGGCCUCAUAGCUCUUACUGAAGUGUUUGCCCAUGCACAGCCCCUCUCCCCUUGGCAGCUCUGAGUGUUUUGAAGGCAGGUCUGUAAGGAGGCCUGGUAUGCAGGUUAUCACCUCCUUCCCACUUCUGGGUCCCUGGAGCUAGACUUGUGCAAACUGAUUAUUUGUACUGCCAGGUGUAGCUUAGAUCAGAAUUCAUAUUUCUUCUUUCUCCUCUGAGAGGAGUAUUGUAUGGAAGAAAUAUGUGUCCAAGUGUGCAUCUCUGGUUCAAGAAAUGCACACAGUGAAAUCAGGGUUCAAGAAAUGGUGCCUGCUUUGCAGAAACAUGCAGGCUGCUUACUCUGCUUGUUGGAAAGCUGCUAGCUAUUUUUUAUUUUCUGUUCUUUAUUCUCUACCUGUUUUGGUUUUGUUUGGGUUUUUUUGGUUUUUUUUUUUUCUUUCUGGAGAAAGUCAAGAGCAUCAGAGUUGUCCUCUGUUCUUAGUUGCUAAGCCUACCUGAUCUGAAACACGGGAUUUCUAAGUUGAGGGGAGAGAAAUCUGCUGCAAUACCCAAAGGCAUGUGAGCCCCCAAGAAAGUCCUGACACAAGCGUUUAUUCUUUGGCCGGACUGAGCCAAAGGUGUCAGCUGCAAAGAAUACACAGAAGUUUUGCUGGACAAAGCCUGUCCAAGGCUUAGUGCAAGAAUUUAUGGCUAACACUCUUGUUACCAGAGUGGUUAGGUAGUUCUUAAUUUUCUUUAAUACAUCGGUAUGGCCUACAAUAAUUGCAUCCAUGCUUGCAUUGGGAUUUCACUGUUAAAUUUUGCUGGCUUGAGCUUUCCGUAGAAAGAGAGUCCUGAUAGCCUCUGUUUGGCAGCUUGGCCACGCAGACCCCAGUCUGGCAGUUCUCUAGAACAGGUAAAGUUUCACAGAAGGAAAGGCAUGGAAAGCUCUAAGUUUUAUUGAAAAAAUUUCUCAGGUUUCUUAGGUAGGGAUGCUGUCCGCUUCCUGUGUCUUCUGGGGGAAUGGAUACCACUGCAGGUCUAAACCCUGCAAACCAGGAGUUAAAAGGGCACCUGCAAAUUUUUUUACCCCUCUCCUUGACUUUCAUUUUACUGGGAAGCGCAGGUCUCAGUCCAGCAUGUCCUUCGUUUGGAAACAGUCUCUUUUAUGGCCCAGGAGGUCUGGUUGCUUCAGGACAGAUCCAGACGUGCAGAUGUGUUGCUCUGUGUCCGAAGUGUCCUUAAUACAUAUACAGAAAUGAAAGAGGUGCCUGGGAGCGUUAAAACAAUCUUUGGGAAGUUUCCCAGCUCCAUUAGAUUUAAUGGCAGUGUCCUACUUAGCAAAUCUUGCCUCAACAUUAGUAUUUCAGAGACUUUUAAUAGCAGUUCCUUCAUUCCCUUGGCAAUAUGGGAAGUUUCAGUUGUGCAUUCUUAUUACAUGGCCCAGAUUACUAUAAUGUUUAAAAUAAAAUAAAAAAAAAAAGUCUUUUCAAAGCAUCAGUCAAAUAUGAAGUUCUGACAUAAUUGCAUAGUGCUUUUCCGUUAGAAAUCUAAAUUAAUCUUGUAUAUAGAGGGAAAUGUAUUAUUUGUGUUAGUCAUAUAUAUUUCAUUCUGUGGGAAGUGUAAUUUGCAUUGUGAAGUUUGGAAUUGGCUUAUUGGAUCUUGUUCCAGUGAAUUAUUCUUAAUCUUUAUGCUUCAUUGCAUUCUCCUCCUCCAUUGCCCUUCUAUCCUCCCAAAAACUUUCCACUGAUGGUGCUUAGAGCUCUGAGAAUUCAGCACUGUGACUUUCAUAGUAACCAACACUUAUUUUAAGAAUAGCAUGAUGAAACGAGUAACUUUGCUGCUAUUCUCUUGUCUUUGACAUUGUACAAAACUGUCAAGGUCAAUAAUUUCCAUGUAGGCUCCCAGUGUUAGGGGCUGUUCUUAAUUAGAUCUUGUUUUAUUACUACGUGAUCAACUGAAUUGUCUGGAAAAUUCCUUAGACUGCUUGUUUCAAAAUCACCCUUUUUAUACUCAUUUUUAACCCAUAGUUUCCUCCUGUUUUUGUUUUUCUUGUGUAAAUAUCUUUUGGCCUCUUGGCCACUUCAUUUAAUACUUCCCAGUGGCUGCUGAUACUAAUUUAGCUAGUUUUCUCUAGUUUGUUCCCAUGUAAACUGUUGACAUAUUGACUCAGAACAGAAAUUUCACAGCAAAGAGAGGAAACUAAUCUUGAAAUAUUAUUAGUAUGUUUUCCAGAGAAAUUAACAAAAGCUAUAGCCAUGUGCACUGUUUGGUUCACUAAUAAAAGUGUGAUAAUAAAAUACCUUUGGUAAAGAAUCUUAAUGAUGCCUCUGUAUGUCACUGACAGCUACAGAUACUGCUGCUAGAGAUCACUGAUAGAUACGCGUGUCUUGACGUGUAUAUAACUGGCCUUGCAGAGGCAAAUUGUAUCUGCCAUUCUGUUUACCUAGGUCAUAUUUAAUACAGUGACAUUUUGAACAAUUACCUCUUUUAUUAGUUGCCAUACGUGUGAAAAGCAAAGCAAAUAGAUUUUUGCUUUAGCCCUUCACGUUUGAUAAAGCAAUUUCUUCCCAUGAGCAGAUUCUCAUAAAUUGUAGGGCAGUUCACCAUGAACAAAUAAACAUCUUCAAUGAACAGUGUAAUUGCAUCCUUAGUUAAUGACUUUUGCAAGGAGGUGUUGCAUAAUGUAAGAUGAAAUGAAAUAAAACCUAGUAACUUUAAAAAGGCCAGAUGAAAACCAGCCACAUACUGUUUUAUUGUAUUGUCUUAGAUUCACACACAGUGGAAAGUUUCAGUGAAGGAAUGUAAGAAAUUCUUUCAUUAUUUUGCACGGAUGGUUGUGGGAGCAGCUGUCUGGUUGUUUGUGCACAUAGUUUGUGUUGGAGCUGUGCUCGAUUUCUUACUUUGUCUUUUACUCAGAUUACAGAUUUGUCACUACCCAACUACCUGAUGGCUUCUUCAGUUGGGCUUCUUCCUACUCAGCUCCUGAACUCAUACUUGGGCACUACCUUGCGCACCAUGGAGGAUGUGAUUGCAGAACAAAGUGUUAGUGGCUACUUUAUAUUCAGUUUACAGAUUGUCAUAAGCAUAGGACUCAUGUUUUAUGUUGUUCACCGAGCUCAAAUGGAACUGAAUGCAGCUAUUGUAGCCUGUGAAAUGGAAAUGAAGACAUCGCUUGUUAAAGACAGUCAACCGAGCAUCACUGGUUCAACCACAUACUGCAACAAAAGGACAGUAGCAUUCUCUGGAGGAGGUGUCAAUAUUGUGUGAUUUCAAGUAUUAAUAUUAAGGUUUUGUGAACCUAAGCUGUUGCCUAGAAAUAUCUAUGGACAAUUCAACUAGUUUUAAAAAAAAAUUACAAGUGGUUACAGGUUGUACUGUGGCACAAACCAACCGACCAGCUCUUCAGUUGCACACGGGGUGACUUCUAGCAAGAAAAGAAAGAUGGUGAAGUAACUUAAGAUGUAAAUGCAAAUUCAGCUGCACCUUUGGUCAUUUAUUAUGCCUGUCAUGGCCUGUAGUCUGCACUUUAGGUUUUUUUCCUUUGCUUCUAUAAACUGAGAAAUGCUUCUAUAAACUGAGAAAAGUAGCACAGAGGUAAAUAUUUUUCUGCUUAGCAUUAUUUAUAAGGCUGAAUAAUUAUAUGCAGUAGAAUUUUAUUACUGAUAAAGAUGAAUGAGAAAGUAUGCAAUUCAAUGUAUGUUAUUCUUGAAUGUGCUUUUGCUUUGGAAUUGCUUCCAGAACUUGGAGUGUAUUAUUUAGCUAAUGAUGGGACCAUUUGGCUUUUCCUUCAUUUUUGUUUUUUUAAAGAAAAAAAAAGAGCCCGAUAAAAAGUUUGGUUGAAUGUAUUUUUGUAAGUCAUUAAAAAUGUUGCGGAGCCAUGCACAUGUAUUCACACAAGCUUAAAUCCUACAUUGUGGGACUGAAGUGCUCUUAAAUAACAUUUUAAGUUACACUGUGUAAUAUGCAAAGUAAAAGGGAAAAUACAGAAGUUAUAAUAGAUUGCAGUGACUCUUUGAAGGAGACGUCAUGACUUAACUCUUGCAUUGGUUUUGCCACCUUGGUGAUUGUAACAAAGGGCUGUUCCACGUUAGUCCUAUUUAUAAUAUUUUUAAUUGUUAAAAGGUUGGAGUUUUUCAACUCACAUGACUGCAUGUGGUAAGGCUUCCAGAACAGGGAGCUAAAUCUCUCCUGUAAACAAAAAGAUGGCAUACUGGCAGUACUAACUUUACAUGAAGGUGGCCUUUAUUUUGUAAGUGAAUCUCCCCUCCCUUUAAAAAGCUUUAAAAAUUCACUUUGGUUGGCAUGUUUUUUUCUGAAAGUUUUACAUUUUUUAAAAGAUGCAAUCUAUUAUAAAUUUCAUCAGAGUGAAGAAAUGAAAACUAGAGGUUCUCCUUGGAAAAAUAAAUAGUCCAGUAGUGGAGGAGGACAGUAAUGUCUUUGAGACUCAGGAAUUCUGACUCCAUUUUUGCAAGACAACACUGUAUUGGAUAACACUCCUUUUACAUGUGCUGUGGACUGUUUUUCACUGCAUUUGAAUAGACUGGAUAACCUGCUAGCAACUUGUGUGUGUGUGUAAAAGGAAAACAAUAAUGCCUGAACACAAUGUCUUGUAUGUGCGAGUUUCAUGUAGAUACACGUACCAAUGUUCAAUCGCUCCAACAUGCGCAAGUCAUCUGAUACAAAAAUAAUGUAAUAUAUUGCUUAUUUUGUAGUUAUUUUAUGUAAGUUUUUAAGGAUGCUUUCAGUCUUCAAGCUUUUAUGUUAUUUUCUAACAGUAUGAAUGUGCCUCCUUUUUGUAAGGCUGUUUGUUGGGUUCAACCAUUCUUGUCUUGUUGAGAAUAGCAGGACUUCGAGGCUGUUGGGAAGCAGAGAUUUGAUAGCCUCUGACAGUCUUGCUGUGAGGAUGUACAGGACUCGCAUAGCGUGACAUCUACGCAUUCCUUGGUAGUGAAAAUUCAAUUUUGUUCUUUAAAUAUGUAUCCUUUGCAGACUGCUUUUCUUGGGUCUCGUGACCUAAGGAACUGAACUAGUUAAAUGAAACAACAGAGUUCAGAUUGCCGCCUUUUUGUUGUUUUGGAGCUUGUUUUUUGUUUGUUUGGUUUGUUUUUGAAAAGGCAAUCUGUAUAUACCUGGGAGUGUUCAUUUACACAUCUCUGCCUCUGACAGCUCCUGUGUGAAAACAAGAGAGCCAGAUAACUUUUUGAUGACGUUAUUUGUCAUCAUAGUAUAAUCGAGCCCUUUCUUAACUAAAGGUUUUUUAUUUUUUUUGUUUCUUGGAAAGAA
Egretta garzetta (little egret) is the source of this 7944-nucleotide RNA transcript. RefSeq lists it as uncharacterized. NCBI's taxonomy places the organism in Eukaryota, Metazoa, Chordata, Aves, Pelecaniformes, Ardeidae. The transcript has 2 exons. The record is from RefSeq and is a predicted model, not a curated record.